GACGCUAGGUUCCGGAACCUGACCUGAGCUGGGGCCUGUGCUUCCAGCGGGUGGUGGGGGGCCUGGUGUGCUGGCAUCAAGUAAGCCGACUACCUCGGCAAAGGCUUAGGGACAAGAGACCAGCAGCCUGAACUGGCUGGGGCAUCCGGAAGGCUUAGAUCUUGUGGCCAAGAGUUCAGACCGUGGCGAAGUGGAGAGUGACAUGCAGUUGGAUGGCGGUGACUGCGUGGUAUGGAAGAAAAUUCAGCUGAAAUUUGCUAGAAAAUGAGUUGUUUUGGAAAGAGACUGUAGAGAAAGGCAAAUGGAAGAAGAAAGCUUCUGUGCCCCCACAGAUACCGACUGAAAAGUGUUAGCAUGAGCAAAAGUUCCUAUCUAAUAUUAUAUGCUUUCCUUUGCUCCCAGCAUUCCACAAUCACGGGCUACUUCAAUUCUGCCUGCUGAGCUGAUUUAAUAAUCUGGAAGAGGAUUAUUCUCCCCCAUCUGGAAGAGGAUUAUUCUCUAUAAUCCCAGUUAGAGACACAAUGACAUAAACAUCGCUGUCCUGCAACCCUGGUUCCAGUCUGGCAAGCAUUGUAGACCUGGCUGCUGAAGACUGACGGGGCCCAGGGUCCGCUGCCCCCACCGCCAUCACCACCUCGGAACCCAGGGUAACGCUGUCAGUCUUUGGCUGAAUUGUUUUAUCCAGGCAAGCAUGCAAAAACACAUUGAUAAUAUAUUUCACCUUUGCCACGUCUAAUACCAGAGCCUACGAGGAAACCAUUCGGAAGCUCCAGAACCCAGGCCCUAAUCACAACGCCCCUAUCCAGCAGGAAGCAGCCAGAUGAUCAACGACGCCCUUUUUCCUUUUUAUACUAAAGUAAGAAAUAAGAAUGUUAGCCCAAACUGCACUAUUUUGCAGACCCCUACCAUUUUACAAACUGGUCAGAGUGGAAAAUUCCACCAGGGCCUGAGCUGUGAGAAACAUCCUGUCAGGCAGGUCCCAGGCCUAACCCCUGGCUGCACUAAAUUCCUUCAUUAUCAGCAGCCAAACACACCGCCCCCACCCCAUUUUCACAACAAUCCCAGACCUCUCCUGCCCGGGACUGUAACUGGUCCAGCCUGUAAGCGGGAAGGGGGCUCUGGCACUAGCUGGUACCCCCUCUCCGCAGGUCUUUCUCCCAAUAAAUCUGUGUUGCCAUUGA
Molecule: long non-coding RNA, 1181 nt
Filed under: Homo sapiens (human)
Lineage: Eukaryota; Metazoa; Chordata; Mammalia; Primates; Hominidae
Description: long intergenic non-protein coding RNA 1278
Source: RNAcentral